Molecule: unclassified non-coding RNA, 22 nt
Filed under: Mus musculus (house mouse)
Lineage: Eukaryota; Metazoa; Chordata; Mammalia; Rodentia; Muridae
Description: oocyte_clustered_small_RNA569
Source: RNAcentral
ACUCAGGGACUAGAGAAGGCUG